Molecule: ribosomal RNA, 253 nt
Filed under: uncultured bacterium
Lineage: Bacteria
Description: partial 16S ribosomal RNA
Rfam family: Bacterial small subunit ribosomal RNA
Source: RNAcentral
UACAGAGGUGGCAAGCGUUGUUCGGAAUUACUGGGCGUAAAGGGCGCGUAGGCGGCCUUCUAAGUCAGACGUGAAAUCCCCCGGCUUAACCUGGGAACUGCGUCUGAUACUGGGAGGCUUGAGUAUGGGAGAGGGAUGUAGAAUUCCAGGUGUAGCGGUGAAAUGCGUAGAUAUCAAGCGGAACACCGGUGGCGAAGGCGGCCUUCUGGACAGUGACUGACGCUGAGGAGCGAAAGCGUGGGGAGCGAACAGG